CUGUUGGUAGCACAGUGGUAGAGUGCAUGCUUUGUGUGUAUGACGUCCUGUAUUCGAAUCACAACUCUCAAU
Non-coding RNA from Dallia pectoralis (Alaska blackfish), 72 nucleotides. Lineage: Eukaryota; Metazoa; Chordata; Actinopteri; Esociformes; Umbridae. The record is from the annotation of a GenBank genome assembly.